Molecule: non-coding RNA, 48 nt
Filed under: Trichobilharzia regenti
Lineage: Eukaryota; Metazoa; Platyhelminthes; Trematoda; Strigeidida; Schistosomatidae
Source: RNAcentral
GUACUGUGAAGAGUCCCAAGAGACUAGGACGAAACAGCUGUCCAGUAC